GCUUGCUUGUUGGGGUUGUAGGACACUCUAUACGGAGUUACAAAGGACGACAUUAGACGAAUCAUCUGGAAAGAUGAAUCAAAGAAGGUAAUAAUCCUGUAGUCGAAAAUGUUGUCUCUCUUGAGUGGAUCCUGAGUACGACGGAGCACGUGAAAUUCCGUCGGAAUCUGGGAGGACCAUCUCCUAAGGCUAAAUACUCUCUAGUGACCGAUAGUGAACCAGUACCGUGAGGGAAAGGUGAAAAGCACCCCGGAAGGGGAGUGAAAUAGAACCUGAAACCGUGUGCUUACAAGUAGUCAGAGCCCGUUAAUGGGUGAUGGCGUGCCUUUUGUAGAAUGAACCGGCGAGUUACGAUUUGAUGCAAGGUUAAGCAGUAAAUGUGGAGCCGUAGCGAAAGCGAGUCUGAAUAGGGCGUUUAGUAUUUGGUCGUAGACCCGAAACCAGGUGAUCUACCCUUGGUCAGGUUGAAGUUCAGGUAACACUGAAUGGAGGACCGAACCGACUUACGUUGAAAAGUGAGCGGAUGAACUGAGGGUAGCGGAGAAAUUCCAAUCGAACCUGGAGAUAGCUGGUUCUCUCCGAAAUAGCUUUAGGGCUAGCCUCAAGUGAUGAUUAUUGGAGGUAGAGCACUGUUUGGACGAGGGGCCCCUCUCGGGUUACCGAAUUCAGACAAACUCCGAAUGCCAAUUAAUU
RNAcentral lists this ribosomal RNA (693 nucleotides) under Staphylococcus aureus. RNAcentral's name for it is "partial 23S ribosomal RNA". It matches the Rfam family "Bacterial large subunit ribosomal RNA", at positions 283 to 972 of the family's 2925-position model. Lineage: Bacteria; Bacillati; Bacillota; Bacilli; Caryophanales; Staphylococcaceae. The record is from RNAcentral.